Molecule: ribosomal RNA, 450 nt
Filed under: uncultured bacterium
Lineage: Bacteria
Description: partial 16S ribosomal RNA
Rfam family: Bacterial small subunit ribosomal RNA
Source: RNAcentral
GUGGGGAAUUUUGGACAAUGGGCGCAAGCCUGAUCCAGCAAUGCCGCGUGCAGGAAGAAGGCCUUCGGGUUGUAAACUGCUUUUGUACGGAACGAAACGGUCCUGGCUAAUACCCGGGGCUAAUGACGGUACCGUAAGAAUAAGCACCGGCUAACUACGUGCCAGCAGCCGCGGUAAUACGUAGGGUGCGAGCGUUAAUCGGAAUUACUGGGCGUAAAGCGUGCGCAGGCGGUGCUGUAAGACAGGCGUGAAAUCCCCGGGCUCAACCUGGGAAUUGCGCUUGUGACUGCAGUGCUGGAGUGCGGCAGAGGGGGAUGGAAUUCCGCGUGUAGCAGUGAAAUGCGUAGAUAUGCGGAGGAACACCGAUGGCGAAGGCAAUCCCCUGGGCCUGCACUGACGCUCAUGCACGAAAGCGUGGGGAGCAAACAGGAUUAGAUACCCCUGUAGUCC